AGUCAAUAGAUACCCCGGUAGUCCACGCCGUAAACGAUGAGUACUAGGUGUAGGAGGUAUCGACUCCUUCUGUGCCGCAGUUAAACACAAUAAGUACUCCGCCUGGGAAGUACGGUCGCAAGAUUAAAAACUCAAAGGAAUUGACGGGGGCCCGCACAAGCAGCGGAGCAUGUGGUUUAAUUCGAAGCAACGCGAAGAACCUUACCUAGACUUGACAUCUCCUGAAUAGCGCAGAGAUGCGUGAAGCCCUUCGGGGCAGGAAGACAGGUGGUGCAUGGUUGUCGUCAGCUCGUGUCGUGAGAUGUUGGGUUAAGUCCCGCAACGAGCGCAACCCCUAUUAUUAGUUGCUACCAUUAAGUUGAGCACUCUAAUGAGACUGCCCGGGUUAACCGGGAGGAAGGCGGGGAUGGCGUCAAAUCAUCAUGCCCCUUAUGUCUAGGGCUACACACGUGCUACAAUGGUGAGAACAACGAGAUGCAAUACCGCGAGGUGGAGCAAAACUUGAAAACUCAUCUCAGUUCGGAUUGUAGG
Molecule: ribosomal RNA, 531 nt
Filed under: uncultured bacterium
Lineage: Bacteria
Description: bacterial SSU rRNA
Rfam family: Bacterial small subunit ribosomal RNA
Source: RNAcentral